This 274-nucleotide ribosomal RNA is filed under the name uncultured bacterium. Its description in RNAcentral is "partial 16S ribosomal RNA". It matches the Rfam family "Bacterial small subunit ribosomal RNA", at positions 523 to 796 of the family's 1533-position model. The record is from RNAcentral.
AUACAGAGGGUGCGAGCGUUAAUCGGAAUUACUGGGCGUAAAGCGUGCGUAGGCGGUUUGUUAAGUCAGAAGUGAAAGCCCUGGGCUCAACCUGGGAACGGCUUUUGAGACUGGCAGACUCGAGUUGAGUAGAGGGGAGUGGAAUUUCCGGUGUAGCGGUGAAAUGCGUAGAGAUCGGAAGGAACACCAGUGGCGAAGGCGACUCCCUGGACUCAAACUGACGCUGAGGUACGAAAGCGUGGGUAGCAAACAGGAUUAGAUACCCUAGUAGUCC